This 1793-nucleotide long non-coding RNA is filed under the name Nothobranchius furzeri (turquoise killifish). RNAcentral's name for it is "lncRNA (ENSNFUG00015002256.1)". Lineage: Eukaryota; Metazoa; Chordata; Actinopteri; Cyprinodontiformes; Nothobranchiidae. The record is from RNAcentral.
AUGGGUGAGUCCAUUAGACUGUCAGGCCUUUCUGAACCGUGUGUUUUUCCAUCUAUUUUCUAUGAGAUGCUAAUGCAAGGAUUAGUGAUAGAAUACUAUUUUCAGUCAGCCUGCAUGACAAAUGACAUUCCAAAAAGAAUAUAUUUAAUAAGUAAAAAAUGGUUUCUCAGUGAACCUGCUUUAAAUCUUCACUGUCUGAUUGGCUGUAUUGAUGUUUCAUUACUAACAUUUGCAGAAAGAGAACUGCUGUAUGUAAUUCGUGUUUGCAUCCUUUUGUGUCUGUCUCUUAUACACAUCUGGCAGAUGCUGCUUGUCCAAAGUAACUUGCAUUUUUUCACCCACGCAGGAAACUCUGUGGGGGUUCAGCGUCUUCCUCGAGGAUAUUACCAACAAGAAAACAUAAUGAGUCAUGGAAUAAAUGUUAAAAUGUAUUAUUUGUCAUCUGAGGUGUUGCAACUUCCCCUCAACAAAGGUCAGUGACAUGAAUGAGGAGAUAUGCACCACGGCAGACUAAAGGAGAAGUGUGCAACCUGUUAAAAUAACACUUUUAGUUUAUUCCCACCUUUGGAGUUUGCACAUAACGUCAGCCAGAGAGCAGGACAAACACUCAAAAUGAAAAUGAUGACUCUUGGUUAUCUGUGAUACUUGCCAAACAACACAAUACUAAUGGAGUGGCUUUAAGUGUUGAGGAGGUAAUGGACACCCUGCUCUUAACAGCUCAGUGACUUUCUCGUGACAAAAAGAAACACACUCUAAGACUUUUGAUUCAAACUCAGGUUUUGAGUCUGAGAGCGAGGCACCAAAUCCAAUAGCGUCAUCGUAUCAGCAGCAGAUCCGGCAGUCUCACCUUCACACUUGGUGACACACACUGAACACAUUUCACUGCCAACACUUUCACAUCAAGCUUCUUGUAAAAUAAAAAUGUCACAACUUGCAAAAUAAGCCCAAACUCAUAAAAGCUUUGAGUGUCUGUUUGUAUUUCAGCUUCUGAGGUGCAGUUACUUGCAUGCCAGUUCAUUACUUAUUUUACUUUUUUCCUCUUAAGGCCAGUUUAUGAAGGAUUUCUCUGCCUUUACACUUAUUAUUGUAGAUAAAGAUCUCACUUUUGCCUUUAAUGAAUGUGCUGCGUGGAUCUGAAAGGGUAUGCGUACGUGCGUGCACGUGUGUGUGUGUGCAUGCCACCUGGCCAGGCUGGCCAGCUACUCUUCCUCAGGGCCAUGCAGCUAUGUCCAGACCUGUCUGGUUGAAGCUUUGUGUUUGACGCGCACAAAUUAGAAUCGUCUCCUGUUUGGUUUCGUGUGGUUGUGCUUCCUGCAAAUGACUAAUGUAUGAGCAUUAUGCAGUGGAUUCAGAGAUAAAGAUGUGGGCAGGUGUAAAACAAGUGCCAGAAACGUUUAUCUAAUGCAACCAACAUUUGAUUUAAAAAAAAGUCUGCAACAGAAAUGGUUGCACAAAGGGGGAAUGAAAAAAACAUAAGGGUCGUUUCCACGAUCAGAACUUCCGGGUAAUUUUAUCAGAUUGUCAUAGCACGUGCGUGCUUGGACGUAAUUUUUUUUGGGGGGGGGGCCCCCCCCACACUUUUUCCAAAGUCGAUUGACCCCUGCACUUUUUACCAUCCAAAAACAAUAUUACGCUAUAUUAAAUUGACACUGGUUGAGCUCUAGGACCAAGCGGAAAACAACCGUUUGUGUUGAAGCCUGUUUCCCAUUAGAGCAUACUGUCAAGACACCCCCCCACCCGCCCCCCCCCUUCAAAAGUGACCAUUACCUCCUUGCCCCCUUACAGGAAGCUUU